CAAGGAGUUUUCCGCAAUGGGCGAAAGCCUGACGGAGCAACGCCGCGUGUGGGAUGACGCCCUUCGGGGUGUAAACCACUUUUCUUGGGGACGAAGCAGUGACGGUACCCGAGGAAGAAGGCCCGGCUAACUACGUGCCAGCAGCCGCGGUAAUACGUAGGGACCGAGCGUUGUCCGGAGUUACUGGGCGUAAAGCGCGCGCAGGCGGCUCGUCAAGCCUGACGUGAAAGCCCCCGGCUCAGCCGGGGAGGGUCGUCGGGGACUGGCGGGCUUGAGGUCGGCAGGGGUUGGUGGAAUUCCCGGUGUAGUGGUGAAAUGCGUAGAGAUCGGGAGGAACACCCGUGGCGAAGGCGGCCAACUGGGCCGGACCUGACGCUGAGGCGCGAAGGCGUGGGGAGCGAACG
This 404-nucleotide ribosomal RNA is filed under the name uncultured bacterium. Its description in RNAcentral is "bacterial SSU rRNA". It matches the Rfam family "Bacterial small subunit ribosomal RNA", at positions 355 to 774 of the family's 1533-position model. The record is from RNAcentral.